Molecule: ribosomal RNA, 429 nt
Filed under: uncultured bacterium
Lineage: Bacteria
Description: bacterial SSU rRNA
Rfam family: Bacterial small subunit ribosomal RNA
Source: RNAcentral
UGGGGAAUUGUUCGCAAUGGGCGCAAGCCUGACGACGCAACGCCGCGUGGAGGAUGAAGAUUUUCGGAUCGUAAACUCCUUUCGAUCGAGACGAAUUUCCUUGGGACGAAUAAUCCUGAGGCUUGACGGUACCGAGAGAAGAAGCCCCGGCUAACUCCGUGCCAGCAGCCGCGGUAAUACGGGGGGGGCAAGCGUUGUUCGGAAUUACUGGGCGUAAAGGGCUCGUAGGCGGCCAACUAAGUCAGACGUGAAAUCCCUCGGCUUAACCGGGGAACUGCAUCUGAUACUGGAUGGCUUGAGUUCGGGAGAGGGAUGCGGAAUUCCAGGUGUAGCGGUGAAAUGCGUAGAUAUCUGGAGGAACACCGGUGGCGAAGGCGGCAUCCUGGACCGACACUGACGCUGAGGAGCGAAAGCCAGGGGAGCAAACGG